GAUGAACGCUGGCGGCGUGCCUAACACAUGCAAGUCGAACGUGAGGGGGUAGCAAUAUCCCUGAAAGUGGCGAACGGGUGAGUAACACGUAGGUAACCUGCCGCGCAGAGGGGGAUAACCAUUGGAAACGAUGGCUAAAACCGCAUGGUCCUUACUAGGCGGGAGUCUAGUAGGGUAAAGCCUUGGUGCUGCGCGAGGGGCCUGCGUCCGAUUAGCUAGUUGGUGAGGUAAUAGCUCACCAAGGCGAUGAUCGGUAGCUGGUCUGAGAGGAUGAUCAGCCACACGGGAACUGAGACACGGUCCCGACUCCUACGGGUGGCUG
RNAcentral lists this ribosomal RNA (322 nucleotides) under uncultured Chloroflexota bacterium. RNAcentral's name for it is "bacterial SSU rRNA". It matches the Rfam family "Bacterial small subunit ribosomal RNA", at positions 28 to 351 of the family's 1533-position model. Lineage: Bacteria; Bacillati; Chloroflexota. The record is from RNAcentral.